CCUACGGGAGGCAGCAGUGGGGAAUCUUGCGCAAUGGGCGAAAGCCUGACGCAGCCAUGCCGCGUGAAUGAUGAAGGUCUUAGGAUUGUAAAAUUCUUUCACCGGGGACGAUAACGACGGUACCCGGAGAAGAAGCCCCGGCUAACUUCGUGCCAGCAGCCGCGGUAAUACGAAGGGGGCUAGCGUUGCUCGGAAUUACUGGGCGUAAAGGGAGCGUAGGCGGAUAGUUUAGUCAGAGGUGAAAGCCCAGGGCUCAACCUUGGAAUUGCCUUUGAUACUGGCUAUCUUGAGUGUGGGAGAGGUAUGUGGAACUCCGAGUGUAGAGGUGAAAUUCGUAGAUAUUCGGAAGAACACCAGUGGCGAAGGCGACAUACUGGCCCAUUACUGACGCUGAGGCUCGAAAGCGUGGGGAGCAAACAGGAUUAGAUACCCUGGUAGUCCACGCUGUAAACGAUGAGUGNUAGUGUCGGCGAUGCAUGCAUGUCGGUGACGCACUAACGACAUAAGUACACUCCGCCGUCGGGAGGUACGGUCGGCGAGAGUAAACGUACUAAUUAGAAGUUAGUUACGGCGUGAGACGUUGCCGACGGACGACGACGAGGGAGGAGG
Molecule: ribosomal RNA, 609 nt
Filed under: uncultured bacterium
Lineage: Bacteria
Description: bacterial SSU rRNA
Rfam family: Bacterial small subunit ribosomal RNA (bases 1-518)
Source: RNAcentral